RNAcentral lists this long non-coding RNA (1592 nucleotides) under Prunus persica (peach). Its description in RNAcentral is "long non-coding RNA (PPER_LNC004511)". The record is from RNAcentral. Lineage: Eukaryota; Viridiplantae; Streptophyta; Magnoliopsida; Rosales; Rosaceae.
UCGGAUACUUCCGAAGCUAUGAGAGGAGCACCUACAAGCAAUGUAGUACCUUUGUCCUGGUUGUCACUUUCAUCCUCGAGAAUAGUGACGGUGCCCUUCUUGAAACACUUGAAGAAGGCCAUCUGUAUAAGAUAAGCGACAUGAAACAAUAUUCAGUAUCAGGCUGUUGACUUCAUACUUAAAAAUAAAAAAAAUAAGAAAAAACCUUACUUGUACAAAUUUGAAGAGCCGGAUAAAGGUGGAAUGUCUCGAGAAAUAAUCUUUACUCGUCCUCCAUUUACGUAAAGCCUAAGCGCUUGAGCGGGUUAUCACCAAGUCGGAGAGAUGGAUCAAACCCAAGUGGUAUAGGACAUCUACGUUCUUCACUCGUCAUCUACUUACGUAAAGCCUAAGCGCUUGAGCGGGUUAUCACCAAGUCGGAGAGAUGGAUCAAACCCAAGCGGUAUAGGACGUCUACGUUCUUCACUCGUCCUUCACUUAUGUAAAGCCUAAGAGCUUAAGCGGGUUAUCACCAAGUCGGAGAGAUGGAUCAAACCCAAGCGGUAUAGGACGUCUACAUUCUUCACUCGCCUUCACUUACGUAAAGCCUAAGUGCUUGAGUGGGUUAUCACCAAGUCGGAGAGAUGGAUCAAACCCAAGCGAUAUAGGACGCCUACGUUCUUCACUUUCUUUCAAAGUACCUAUUAUAAAAACAUAUACAUAUAUAAAUAUUAUCAUAAAUAAAUGAUGAAUAAAUAAAUGAUUGAAAAAGUGAUAGAUGUGCAGUAGCAAAAAAAAAAAGAAAAAAGAAGAAGGGUAUUUCAAGCUGCUUGGACUAGCCCAAGCUAAAUGGGGGCACCCAGUCUGCCCACUUCUUCAGCCCUCACCCAAGAUCUUCCCAAGUAUCUCGCCAUCAGCUUUAACUACAAUGCCAUAAUUGGAGUCUUGCCAACCACGCCUACAGUACCAUGAAGGGGCAUGGACAUAACCAAAGGAUGAAUGUCAUCUCAUACAAGAUUCCAACAUACCCAAAAAAAGGGGGUAACUUUCAAAGCUCCACGUUGGAAGCAAUCCAAAUUAUUGUAAAGAAAUGAAGUAACACUUCAAGCUGCACUUCCUACAUGUGACAAAGCACAUAUCUACAGUGCAUCAUGAAGUGGGGGCAAUUUGUAGACAAAGAAAUUUUGACGAAUUAAAAUCCACUAAACAAGAAAAUAAUUAGGGUUUGGUGGAUUAAAUUGUGGGCCCCAUAAUUCGCCCAUGUGGCGUGUGACUCAUCAAAAUUGGAUUAGUUGUCAAAAAGUGACAAGUGGCGACAUCCGAUGGAGUGCAUCAAACGGUUCAAAGUGAAGACAAAAUUAAGGGAAAGAAUCUUCUGUGAUUAACUUUGAUUUAAAUCAAAUAUUAAUCAAAUCAAUCAAUCGAAGAUAAUUUGGUUAAAUUGCCAAAUUAUUGGAAUUGAUUUUCAAAUCAAAUCAGAAUUCCACAAAGGAAGGUUUUAAAGAAGGAAAGCUAUUUAGGUCAAGCAUCCUGCAGGAGCCUAUAAAUAGGAGGCCUCAAGAUGAAAGAAAGGGUGAGAAAAAACCUAGCAUUCAGAAGAAACAGAAAACUCU